Molecule: ribosomal RNA, 235 nt
Filed under: uncultured bacterium
Lineage: Bacteria
Description: partial 16S ribosomal RNA
Rfam family: Bacterial small subunit ribosomal RNA
Source: RNAcentral
CGAACGGGUGAGUAACACGUAGGUAACCUACCCUCGAGUGGGGGAUAACCAUUGGAAACGAUGGCUAAUACCGCAUAAAGUCCCGACAACUCCUGUUGUUGGGAUGAAACCUCCGGUGCUCGAGGGUGGACCUGUGGUGGAUUAGGAAGUUGGUGAGGUAACGGCUCACCAAUCCUGCGAUCCAUAGCUGGUCUGAGAGGAUGAUCAGCCACACUGGCACUGAGACACGGGCCAG